ACGCUGGCGGCGCGCCUAACACAUGGCAAGUCGAACGGNGAAAGAGACAGCUUGCUGGAUCUUUCUUAGUGGCGGACGGGUGAGUAAUGCGUGAGCAACCUGCCUUUCAGAGGGGGACAACAGUUGGAAACGACUGCUAAUACCGCAUAACAUAUCGAGGGGGCAUCCCUUUGAUAUCAAAGGAGCAAUCCGCUGAAAGAUGGGCUCACGUCUGAUUAGUUAGUUGGUGAGGUAACGGCUCACCAAGACUGCGAUCAGUAGCCGGACUGAGAGGUUGAACGGCCACAUUGGGACUGAGAUACGGCCCAGACUCCUACGGGAGGCAGCAGUGGGGAAUAUUGGGCAAUGGGCGAAAGCCUGACCCAGCAACGCCGCGUGAAGGAAGAAGGUUUUCGGAUUGUAAACUUCUUUUAUGAGGGACGAAGAACGUGACGGUACCUCAUGAAUAAGCCACGGCUAACUACGUG
This 467-nucleotide ribosomal RNA is filed under the name uncultured bacterium. RNAcentral describes it as "bacterial SSU rRNA". It matches the Rfam family "Bacterial small subunit ribosomal RNA", at positions 33 to 507 of the family's 1533-position model. The record is from RNAcentral.